UACGGAGGAUGCAAGCGUUAUCCGGAUUUAUUGGGUUUAAAGGGUGCGUAGGCGGAAGAUUAAGUCAGUGGUGAAAUCCUGCAGCUCAACUGUAGAACUGUCAUUGAUACUGAUCUUCUUGAAUACAGUUGAGGUAGGCGGAAUAUGUAAUGUAGCGGUGAAAUGCUUAGAUAUUACAUAGAACACCGAUUGCGAAGGCAGCUUACUAAACUGUGAUUGACGCUGAGGCACGAAAGCGUGGGGAGCGAACAGGAUUAGAUACCCCCGUA
This 269-nucleotide ribosomal RNA is filed under the name uncultured prokaryote. RNAcentral describes it as "partial 16S ribosomal RNA". It matches the Rfam family "Bacterial small subunit ribosomal RNA", at positions 524 to 792 of the family's 1533-position model. The record is from RNAcentral.